Molecule: ribosomal RNA, 460 nt
Filed under: uncultured bacterium
Lineage: Bacteria
Description: partial 16S ribosomal RNA
Rfam family: Bacterial small subunit ribosomal RNA
Source: RNAcentral
CCUACGGGCGGCAGCAGUGAGGAAUAUUGGUCAAUGGACGAGAGUCUGAACCAGCCAAGUAGCGUGAAGGAUGACUGCCCUAUGGGUUGUAAACUUCUUUUAUAUGGGAAUAAAAUGUUCCACGUGUGGGAUUUUGUAUGUACCAUAUGAAUAAGGAUCGGCUAACUCCGUGCCAGCAGCCGCGGUAAUACGGAGGAUCCGAGCGUUAUCCGGAUUUAUUGGGUUUAAAGGGAGCGUAGGUGGAUUGUUAAGUCAGUUGUGAAAGUUUGCGGCUCAACCGUAAAAGUGCAGUUGAAACUGGCAGUCUUGAGUACAGUAGAGGUGGGCGGAAUUCGUGGUGUAGCGGUGAAAUGCUUAGAUAUCACGAAGAACUCCGAUUGCGAAGGCAGUUCACUGGACUGCAACUGACACUGAGGCUCGAAAGUGUGGGUAUCAAACAGGAUUAGAUACCCUUGUAGUC